ACGGAGGGUGCAAGCGUUAUUCGGAAUUACUGGGCGUAAAGGGCGUGCAGGCGGGAGAGCAAGUCUGAUGUGAAAGCCCGGGGCUUAAACCCGGAAGGGCAUUGGAAACUGCUUUUCUUGAGUUCUGGAGAGGAAGGGAGAAUUCCUGGUGUAGAGGAGAAAGUCGUAGGGAUCGGGAAGAGCAUCAGUGGGGCAGGAGGGAUAAUGACGAGCAACGGACGCGGCGACGAGAUCGCGUGGGGAGCAAGCAA
RNAcentral lists this ribosomal RNA (251 nucleotides) under uncultured prokaryote. RNAcentral's name for it is "partial 16S rRNA". It matches the Rfam family "Bacterial small subunit ribosomal RNA", at positions 525 to 775 of the family's 1533-position model. The record is from RNAcentral.